GAUGAACGCUGGCGGCGUGCCUAAUACAUGCAAGUCGAGCGAAGCGGGGACGGGUGAGUAACACGUGGAUAACCUCCUAUAAGACUGGGAUAACUUCGGGAACCCGGAGCUAACCCGGAUACAUACAGAUGGAUCCCCGCCGCAUUAGCUAGUUGGUAAGGUAACGGCUUACACAGGCGACGAUGCGUAGCCGACCAGAGAGGGUGAUCGGCCUCACUGGAACUGAGACAAGGGCCAGACGCCUACGAGAGGCAACAGUAGGGAAUCUUCCGCAAUGGGCGAAAGCCUGACGGAGCAACGCCGCGUGAGUGAUGAAGGUCUUCGGAACGUAAAACUCUGUUAUUAGGGAAGCGGUACCUAAUCAGAAAGCCACGGCUAACUACGUGCCAGCAGCCGCGGUAAUAC
RNAcentral lists this ribosomal RNA (405 nucleotides) under uncultured bacterium. Its description in RNAcentral is "partial 16S ribosomal RNA". It matches the Rfam family "Bacterial small subunit ribosomal RNA", at positions 28 to 526 of the family's 1533-position model. The record is from RNAcentral.